AACGUAGGAGGCAAGCGUUAUCCGGAUUUACUGGGUGUAAAGCGCGUGCAGGCGGCCCUGUAAGUUGAGCGUGAAAGCGCCCGGCUCAACCGGGCGAGGACGUUUGAGACUGCGGGGCUGGAGGCAGGCAGAGGCGUGUGGAAUUCCGGGUGUAGUGGUGAAAUGCGUAGAGAUCCGGAGGAACACCAGUGGCGCAGGCGACACGCUGGGCCUGGCCUGACGCUCAGACGCGACAGCAUGGGGAGCGAACGGG
RNAcentral lists this ribosomal RNA (253 nucleotides) under uncultured bacterium. RNAcentral's name for it is "partial 16S ribosomal RNA". It matches the Rfam family "Bacterial small subunit ribosomal RNA", at positions 524 to 776 of the family's 1533-position model. The record is from RNAcentral.